UCCUACGGGAGGCAGCAGUGGGGAAUAUUGCACAAUGGGGGAAACCCUGAUGCAGCGACGCCGCGUGAGUGAAGAAGUAUUUCUGUACGUAAAGCUCUAUCAACAGGGAAGAAGAAAGACGGUACCUGACUAAGAAGCCCCGGCUAACUACGUGCCAGCAGCCGCGGUAAUACGUAGGGGGCAAGCGUUAUCCGGAUUUACUGGGUGUAAAGGGAGCGUAGACGGCUGUGCAAGUCUGAAGUGAAAGCCCAGGGCUCA
This 258-nucleotide ribosomal RNA is filed under the name uncultured bacterium. RNAcentral's name for it is "partial 16S ribosomal RNA". It matches the Rfam family "Bacterial small subunit ribosomal RNA", at positions 337 to 611 of the family's 1533-position model. The record is from RNAcentral.